This 5098-nucleotide long non-coding RNA is filed under the name Drosophila guanche. Lineage: Eukaryota; Metazoa; Arthropoda; Insecta; Diptera; Drosophilidae. The record is from RNAcentral.
GCCUAUGUGUGGGGGGGUGCGUUUCAUUUGUCUUUAAAAUUUUGGUUUCAUAGGCAGGUUAACAUAGGUUAACAUAGGCAGGUGUGCAUGCACACAAGUGCACUUCCCAAACACCUUCACGUGGGCACAGUUUCUCAGACACUGGGGCACCCAAAAGAAUCAUUGAGAAUCAUUGCUCAAGGUUUUGUUUAUAUCCAGUUUACACGCUGAUGCCGACAUGAACGGGAAAAUGCCCAGUUUUAAAGGAACUUAUACGUGCUAGUGAGAGGCAUGAGAGGUUAUUUUGAGGGUUAUCGCAUCUACGAAGGUAGGAAGACAGAGAGGUUCUCGGGGUUCACAGAGCAUACAGAGUACACAUUUCGGAGCUACGAGGAGCAGAGAGAUCAAACAGAAAAGAGCUUAUUUUGAGGGUUAUCGCAUCUACGAAGGUCGGAAGACAGAGAGGCGGGCCACGCAGCGCUGGUGAACUCUCGGUCACGAUCGUUCGGCCGCACAUGAAUCCCCAAUAAAUAAAGCUGGCAGAGCAAAAAGGGGACAGUCGACCCAGAGUCAUUGAGCAGUGCACAUCGUUCCUAAUCAUAAAAUUUUGGCCAAGUGGGAAAAAAAAAUAUUUACCAGGAUAUACAACAAGGUCAUUGCACAGGAUACUAGAACCAAGGACAUCGCACAGGAUAACACUACGAUACACCAAGGAUACAAGCAACAAGGACAUAGCACAGGAUCAUACGGGUACACACCAAGGAUACAUUGCCCAGGCAUUGCACAGGACACAACUGGCAUACAACAAGGAUACUAGCGACACCGCAGUCAAGGCACAGGACCCAAGACACAGGAGCAGGCUUCAUAUAGCAGCAUGGUUGGAGUAGCGUGGAUCUCGUACCGGCGCAAGGCGGAGCUGGAGGCAUUCGCUAAAGAAUUCGGAUUCGAACGGGAAAGCACCUUGGAGGAACUUCGAGGCCGCACGUCUGCCUUUGUGAGUCGUGGGGACACUCGGCUACGAUCCAGGCACACUUAGAGGAACUUGAAGACGCAUUUGGAAGAGCACGGACUCCCGCUCAACAGCGAUAUCGGUGCUUGUCGCCUACUACGAGUGGAAAUGGAAACCAAGCGAAGGAAAUCCCACCAGGAGAGCCAACAAGACCGGGUAUGCAUUACCUCAGCAUUCCGGUGCCUGGACAACAGCAGCGCGUAUCAUUUGGGCCAAGGAGUACCGGAACUUUUGAAAGGGACUGCCGAGGACUGGUUUCGUACGAGUCAUCUACAGGGAGAGUCAUGGAACGUGUUUCGCAGGAAAUUGUUGGACUUCCUACCCCGGCGGUAUUCGGAAGCUCAGGAACUGGAGCAGGUGUACAAAAAUCUGCUGCCCGAGUACCAGUUGUACGUGAGACGCCUGGACUUCCGCUCGUUCAAACAGCUAACACAACUAGUGAUAAACUUUGAGGUCAUCCGGGAACGCGAGCGUCAACGUCAAGCCAGAACCAGGACAGGAUCAGCAUCGAUGCCAAAGCGUGGAACCGGCGCAACGAGCCCCAAACCCGGCCCACAGACUAACAGUGCGGACCGUAAUAGCUUUGGCAAAUGGUAUCGAAAGAUGGAACUAACGCGGGUAAUUCAAGCCGACUCGGACAAUCACGGGCUAGCAUCCUGAUGCUGGUCCCGCCAACGGCACUCGACGACGUGCUGCUGAGUUUGGAUUUCUUUGCCGCCAUAGAUGCCAAGCUGCAUGUAGGAGGGUUGCUUAUCCCCUUGAGCAGAUCCAACCACGGAGCCACAGAAUGUCAUCGACCGACAGGGAGGACAAGCAACGACGACGCCAUCAUCCCCGAGGCGGUUGUCACAUCACCAGGGAGGACAAGGAUUCGAGAUGACCCCGAACCUGCAACCGUGAGGUGACCGGCGGAUCAUCCUCGACGAUGAGGACCAACAAGGACGACGCCUGCAUCCGCGAGGCGGUCGUCCCAUCAACCGAAACAACGAGGACAAACCAGGACGACGCCUGCAUCCGCGAGGCGGUCGUCCCAUCAGCAUUGACAACGAUUGUUCGAGAAGACCCCGGCACAGAACGAGACAGAACUUGGGGAGGCGCUCUCCAACCAGCCGCCACAAGCCAGCUCGGACAUAGCUCAGCAGAGCCGAUAGCACCACGAGUACAAGAAUUCCUGGAGGAAGAAUUGGCGAAAUUCGACGGCCUGACCGGCCUGUCCAACAUCGCCGAGCACGUUAUAGUGAUGCGCGACGAUCGCCCGAUCAAACAGCGAUACUUUCCACGGAAUCCAGCCAUGCAAGGGGUAAUUCACGCGCAAGUAGACGAGUUACUAAGGGAUGGAUGCAUCGGGCCUUCCAAAAUCCCACAUAGUGCCCCUAUUGUGUUGGUGGGCAAGAAGACUGGAGAAACCCCGCAUGUGUGUAGACUUUCAUCAACUCAAUGCACGAACGGUACCGGACGCAUACCCCCUGCCGAGGGGGUAUAUAUUAUUACAUUGGACCUGAAAAGCGGGUAUUGGCAGAUACCCAUGGCCAAGCCCAGUCGUGAAAGCACCGCGUUCACAGUACCAGGACGAGGUCUCUUCCAAUGGCGUGUUAUGCCAUUUGGACUCCACUCGGCACCCGCCACAUUCCAGCGGGCACUCGACAGUGUCAUCGGAGCAGAUAUGGAACCCCAUACGUUCGCAUAUCUCGAUGACAUCAUCAUCAUUGGAACAACAUUGGAGGAACACGUCAGGAAUCUCAGAGAAGUGUUGAGGCGCUUACGACAAGCGAACCUCAGGUUUAACCGGAAGAAGUACCUCUUCUUCUACGCCGAUGCCUGGGUCUCGCCCCCUGGUACAGGCGAUUUGUCCCAAACUUUGCAGCCGUGGUGCAACCGAUGUCACAACUACUGCGGAAAGGCAAGAAAUGGACGUGGGAAACCCAACAACAGCAAGCGUUCACGAAACUCAAGGAACUACUGACCGAGGCGCCAGUUCUCACGUGUCCGGAUUUUACCAGUAAGUUCUCUUUACAAACUGACGCCAGCGACUACGGACUAGGAGGAGUACUAACCCAGCCGAGUGGCGACGGCGAAAGGGUCAUUGCAUAUGUGAGCCGAAGACUAUCGAGGGCCGAGGAGAAUUACUCCACCACCAAGAAGGAAUGUUUAACAAUCGUCUGGGCUAUCAGGAAGCUACGUUGCUACUUGGAAGGAUACAGGUUUAACGUAGUGACGGACCACUUAGACCAACCAAGCUCGGGACAUCUGGGAAUACGCAAGACAACGACAAUGGUAUGUCAAAGAUAUUAUUGGCACGGAAUCUUCAGAGACGUCGCCCGCUACGUAAGGAAAUUUUGCCAAAAGUUCAAAGCACAACAAGCUAAACCAGCAGGGAAGAUGCUUACACGACAGGCAAGCGAGCCUUUCGCUACCAUUUGCGCCGACUUCGUUGGACCGCUAUCGAGAUCCAAACAAGGUAACACAGUGUUACUAGUCUUCUUAGAUAUGUUUUCCAACUGGGUGGAGCUGAUACAUCUGCGCCGUGCCACUGCAACAUACUUGGAGAAAGCUUUUCGCAAUAGGAUUCUCAGCCGAUUUGAGAUACCCCGGAAGUUCAUCUGCGACAACGGGAAUCAAUUUACCAGUCGUUCCUUUAAGGCGUUUUGUAAGCGAGCAUGUAUGACACUGGAGUAUACUGCGCCGUACAAUCCACAGCAAAACCCGACGGAGAGAGCUAACCGGACAAUCAAGACUAUGAUCGCUCACUACAUCGAAGGACCACAUAGUACAUGGGACGACCUGCUACCGGAGAUUUCAUUGGCAAUCAAUAGCAGCGUGUCCGACACAACAGGAUUCAGUCCGGCGUUCCUGGUCCAAGGACAAGAGCCGAGACUACCAGGAGCAUUGUACGAGGAAGUCACGCCAGGAUCCGGAAUAGUCGCUACCGAUUUUGCGAGGUUUUCCAGACGACGAGGGACAACACACAGCGAGCAUCGGCGGAACAGGGCCGCCAUUACAACCUACGACGACGCUAUUGGAGACCAACCAUUAGGAAGCUUGGUGCUAGUGAAGCAACAUGUACUAUCAAAAGCCAACGACAGAUUCGCCGCCAAGCUAGCCCCACGGUACGAGGGCCCGUAUAAGGUAACCUAUUUCAUUUCACCCAAUAUAGCCAGAAUUUGCCACAUGGAGACCGGACACCGGCUCACCACCGGGGUAGCCGACCUGAAAGCCUUCCAGCAACACGACGACGAGGAACAGCAGGACAGCGAAGACGGCGAGCAUCCGCUCGACAGCAAAACAGACGAUCAGCCGCCAGGACUAGCAAGUAAAUUUGGGGCGCUCACAAAGAGGAUUAGUAUAAGACACUGUAUAACAUCGGUAGUAGUAUUACGUUAGGGUACUUCCAAGUUUCAAAAAUCGAACCAGACUAUUGUCCUGUAGAGCAUAAUCUGUCCAUAGUCUCAGGGAUAUAACCUCGUUUAUAUCCCACAUCACUUAGCACGACCAUGGGCGACGAGGAGAUCGAGGAACCGUGGCGACAGUGGGCAGAACAACGCCAAAACGACUGGGGCUGGGUUCCCCAAUACCAACGCCGGUUCGAGGGGUUUGAAGACGAGGGAAACGAGGCCGAACACGCCCGAGGAAUGUCGCAGUUCGACGAUAUUAGCACGGAGAUGUUCCCGAGUACAGAGAACGCCAUGCACCGAUACCUCUAUUACAGCCGGAGAACGAAGAGAUGGUGGAGAGCGUGGCCCGGGUGGCCGUCAUCAGCUCCAUCCGCUUCGCUCGGGCUAUCGCCAGCCCAAGACACCGACGAGCUGAAAUUGUCGUUUGGCAGCAGCGACCUCCAGACUCUGCUAGGACCGGACGUUAACAUCAAAGCCGUAACAGUAGAGCUGUUGCAGGAGGAAGAAAAGUGGGUUGAGGCACCUGCCGAAUGGCGGGCGAAUACCCCGCGCAGACUCAUCCCCCGGAGCCUCGUGGAAAUGGUCCGCACCAGCCAACAACAGGAGACCUGGCGGCGACGCUUCACCCUGGAGUGGCCGGACAGCAAAUUUAAGAUCACGAUCACCCCGUACGGCGCAGUCACCAUCAAAUAUCACCCGGGAAGAAGGUGGGAAAGGG